UGGGGAAUUUUGGACAAUGGGGGAAACCCUGAUCCAGCCAUCCCGCGUGUGCGAUGAAGGCCUUCGGGUUGUAAAGCACUUUUGGCAGGAAAGAAACGUCGCGGGUUAAUACCCCGCGAAACUGACGGUACCUGCAGAAUAAGCACCGGCUAACUACGUGCCAGCAGCCGCGGUAAUACGUAGGGUGCAAGCGUUAAUCGGAAUUACUGGGCGUAAAGCGUGCGCAGGCGGUUCGGAAAGAAAGAUGUGAAAUCCCAGAGCUUAACUUUGGAACUGCAUUUUUAACUACCGGGCUAGAGUGUGUCAGAGGGAGGUGGAAUUCCGCGUGUAGCAGUGAAAUGCGUAGAUAUGCGGAGGAACACCGAUGGCGAAGGCAGCCUCCUGGGAUAACACUGACGCUCAUGCACGAAAGCGUGGGGAGCAAACAGGAUUAGAUACCCUGGUAGUCCACGCCCUAAAACGAUGUCAACUAGCUGUUGGGGCCUUCGGGCCUUGGUAGCGCAGCUAACGCGUGAAGUUGACCGCCUGGGGAGUACGGUCGCAAGGUUAAAACGUUAAAGGAAUUGACGGGGUCAUAGCUGUUUUUCU
RNAcentral lists this ribosomal RNA (588 nucleotides) under uncultured bacterium. Its description in RNAcentral is "partial 16S ribosomal RNA". It matches the Rfam family "Bacterial small subunit ribosomal RNA", at positions 355 to 939 of the family's 1533-position model. The record is from RNAcentral.